CCCCAAAUCCAAACCCCAACAAAGAAAAGGCUUCAAGCUCUAACCCCAAAGCCACCACUUCGAGCAAGAAUCCACCCCAAAAACCUACCCCUACUCCUUCUGAAUACUUCAGAAACAAAGAUCGUUUCUCCCACGCCAAUACUCCUUCCGAUAUGACCGAGGCAGGGCUGAAGAGUAUUCAAACCAAAUAUUCCAUUCCGG
RNAcentral lists this long non-coding RNA (201 nucleotides) under Panax ginseng (ginseng). Its description in RNAcentral is "long non-coding RNA (PGIN_LNC006857)". Lineage: Eukaryota; Viridiplantae; Streptophyta; Magnoliopsida; Apiales; Araliaceae. The record is from RNAcentral.